Molecule: ribosomal RNA, 256 nt
Filed under: uncultured bacterium
Lineage: Bacteria
Description: partial 16S ribosomal RNA
Rfam family: Bacterial small subunit ribosomal RNA
Source: RNAcentral
UACGUAGGGUGCAAGCGUUAAUCGGAAUUACUGGGCGUAAAGCGUGCGCAGGCGGUUGUGCAAGACAGAUGUGAAAUCCCCGGGCUUAACCUGGGAAUGGCAUUUGGGACUGCAAGGCUUGAGUGCGGCAGAGGAGACUGGAAUUCCUGGUGUAGCAGUGAAAUGCGUAGAUAUCAGGAGGAACACCGAUGGCGAAGGCAAUCCCCUGGACCUGUACUGACGCUCAUGCACGAAAGCGUGGGGGAGCAAACAGGAU